Molecule: RNase P RNA, 353 nt
Filed under: Betaproteobacteria bacterium
Lineage: Bacteria; Pseudomonadati; Pseudomonadota; Betaproteobacteria
Description: RNase P RNA component class A
Rfam family: Bacterial RNase P class A
About the family: Ribonuclease P (RNase P) is a ubiquitous endoribonuclease, found in archaea, bacteria and eukarya as well as chloroplasts and mitochondria. Its best characterised activity is the generation of mature 5'-ends of tRNAs by cleaving the 5'-leader elements of precursor-tRNAs.
Source: RNAcentral
GGAGCCGGCCGGGCAGCCGCUGUGCGUUUCACAGAGGAAAGUCCGGGCUCCGCAGAGCGGGAUGCAGGGUAACGCCCUGGCGCGGCAACGCGACGAAUAGGGCCACAGAGACGAGUCCCGGUGCACGAAGUACCGCAGGUUCACGCCUGCGGAGCGCCGGGGGUGAAACGCGGCAACCUCCAUCCGGAGCAACACCAAAUAGGCAAGCGCGGUGCGGCAACGCACUACAGGCCGGCUCGGCCGAGCUUGCGGGUAGGUGGCUAGAGCCCGGGGGCGACUCCGGGCCCAGAGGAAUGGCUGCCGGCGCGGCGCGAGCCGCGCCACAGAACCCGGCUUACAGGCCGGCUCCCAUU